Molecule: long non-coding RNA, 8423 nt
Organism: Homo sapiens (human)
Lineage: Eukaryota; Metazoa; Chordata; Mammalia; Primates; Hominidae
Product: long independently transcribed non-coding RNA 3215
Exons: 7
Source: RefSeq, a predicted model, not a curated record
GGUUCUCCACGUCCCCACCAGACUCAGGAGCCCAGCUGGCUUCACCCAGUGGAUCCCGCACCGGGGCUGCAGGUGGAGCUGCCUGCCAGUCUCCCGCCGUGCGCCCGCACUCCUCAGCCUUUGGGUGGUCGAUGGGACUGGGCGCCGGCGGAGCAGGGGGCGGGGCUCAUCCGAGAGGUUCCGGUCGCACAGGAGCCCACGAUGGAGGUGGGAGGCUCAGGCAUGGCGGGCUGCAGGUCCCGAGCCCUGCCCCGCGGGAAGGCAGCUAAGGCCCGGCGAGAAAUCGAGCGCAGCGCCGGUGGGCUGGCACUGCUGGGGGACCCAGUACACCCUCCGCAGCCGCUGGCCCGGGUGCUAAGCCCCUCAUUGCAUGGGGUCGGCAGGGCCGGCCGGCUGCUCCGAGUGCGGGGCCCGCCAAGCCCACGCCCACCCGGAACUCCAGCUGGCCCGCAAGCGCCGCGCGCAGCCACGAUUCCAGCUCGCGCCUCUCCCUCCACACCUGCAUGCAAGCUGAGGGAGCUGGCUCCGGCCUUGGCCAGCCCAGAAAGGGGCUCCCACAGUGCAGCGGUGGGCUGAAGGCCUCCUCAAGUGCCGCCAAAGUGGGAGCCCAGGCAGAGGAGGCGCCGAGAGAGAGCGAGGGCUGUGAGGACUGCCAGCAGGCUGUCACCUCUCACUUCUGGGCUACAAACAUGGACAGCAUGUACUGAGGACUGGAGGCAACUGUAAUGCAACGAUUUUUCAUGCCAAAUGAUGUGGGAUCUGGAAAGAUGGGCGAAUAGGAAUAGCUCUGGUCUACAGCUCCCAGCAAAACCAACACAGAAGUUACUGCUGAAAGCAUCCUGAGUGACACAAACUUGAAGCAUGCAAGAGGACUAAAUAACUUCCAAAGUCACACAUAUUGCAUGUCAAGAGCCAGCUUCAAACUCAAGUCCCUGUGACCAGAGGUCGAUGCUCUAAACACAUUUCUGCAUGACCUGCUUGUGGCAGCCUGGAGAAAUUCUACAUAAAUCUUCUCAGAUUCCAGAGGCUGCGAGGUCUGAGAUCAAGGAUCUGACACCUGGUGAGGGCCUUUUUGCUGCAUCAUUUCACAUAGAGACAAAAAGAUUCUCACCUGUAAGCUUGAAUUAUGUCUACAUCAUGCUUGGGAAAUGUCCAUAUAUUCUAAGCUUGAAACUGCAGUGAUGAGGACGUCACCACUUCCAGAGAGAACACUUUACUACCAGGCAACUUGAGUACAAUAGGCAGCCACAAAUAUCAUCCUUGCUAGCCAGGAAUGACAAGGAGCAAGCCACAUGAGGAGUCAGAAAAGAUUAUUCCAGGCAGGGCUGAGAUCUGCAUUAUGGUCUGGAGGCUGCCCCAGUCUCUCCUUUACCUCCAUAUUUUUCUCACAGGUAAUUUCUUAUCUUGCAUAUAUAAUUCUAUCUUACAUCUAUUGCUUAUAGGACCAGAAUUAACGUAUUUGGGCUUGAACUUCCUCAUCUGUGAAAUGUGACUAUAAUUAUAACAGCUAAAUUCUCAAGAUUAACCUCUUAGCUUUCAGGACUGCUUAUGUUUCAUAAAUGUAGUUAUUUUGAGAAUAUUUAUGUAUAAUAUUUAUAACAGGAAAGAAAAGUAAGUAAACAAGUUUGUGCCAAAACUCUACAUCAAUUCAAUAGCUUUGUGAAUAGAGUGAUUAGAAAAACACAAUUAGACUAUUGAAAGUUGAGAAAAAUUAUCUAAAAUUGUGGUACCUAAACCAUACUAGGAAGGAAGCAUCAUUGUCUACAAGUUAGUAAUUAUGGGUAAAUCACUCAGAAAAGUGUCUAGCAUAAAAACAACUUAAUAAAUGUUCACUAUUAUUAUUUUGUUUCACUUGUUACCACUUCUGUAAGCUGACCUUCAAAUGGGUAAAGUUAGCAGCCAUGACAUGAACAAUAUCUAAACAAGUUGGCAUGGGCUAUAUUCCAAAAAAGUCUUAUUUAUGGUCACAGAAAUUUUAAUUUUAUAUAAUUUUAACACAUCACAAAGUAUUCCUAUUCUUGUAAUUUUUUCUCAUUGUUUAAAAAUGUUAGCAAAUGCAGGUCAACAAAAGAUAUUGCCAAACCAUACUAUGUUAUACCUGGAUUGAAACUCAGGGAUGGGUAUAGGUGAAAAAAAAAAAAUAAGUGUGGGUUAGGGGAAAAGGAAAAGAAUAGAGUAAGACAGAGAGAGAGAGAGCUAUAAAGACUUUCAUCUUUAGCUUUGCACCUUGUGGAAUAGUGGUCUUGGUCCAUUUGUGUUGCUACAAAGGAAUACCUGAGAUUGAUUAAUUUAUAAAGGAAAAGUUGUAUUUGUCUCAUGAUUCUGCUGGCUGAAAAUCUGGCAUCUGGUGAAAACCUGAGGCUGCUUUCACUCAUGUAAGAAGGUGAAAGUGAAGGGGAGCCAGUGCAGGGAGAGAUCACUUGGUGAGAGAGAAAACAAGAGAGAGGGAAGGAGGCACCAGGCUCUUUUUAACAACCAGCUCUUGUGGGAACUAAUAAGAAUGGGAACUCACUCAUCCUCCCUCAGGAGGGCAUUCAUCUAUUCAUGAGGGGUCCACAUCAUGAUCCCAUUAGGCCAUGUCUUCAACACUGGAGAUCAGAUUUCAACGUGAGAUUUGGAGGGGCCAGAUAUCCAUACUGUAGCAUGGUCCAAGCCAAAUAGAUCUAAAGACAAGGUAAGGUAACAUAACUCUAGCUAAUAUUUUGGACACAUGGACACACAAGAAGAAUUGAUCCUUUAAUUCUGUUACUAACUUGAGGUAGUCUAGAUCAAGGAUCAGCAAACUACAGACAAUGGACAAAAUCCAGCCUACCACCUGCUUUUGUAUGUUCUGCAAGCUAAGAAUGUUUUUAUAUCUUAAAAUUGUUGAAUAAUAUUUUGUGACAUGUGAAAAUUAAAUGAAAUUCAAAUUUCCAUGAUUAUACAUAAAGUUUUACUGGAACACAGCCACGCCAAUUUGCAGACAUGUUGCUUUUGGCUGCUUUCUGGCUACAAGACAGUCAAGUAGUUGUAACAGAGACCACAUUGCCAAAAAAACCUAAAAUAUUUACAAUGAGGCCUUCUACAGAAAAUGUUUUGCAUCUCCUGGUUAAUAUCCAUACUCCAAUAUCACAUUUUGGGGGAUCCACAUUCUGGUUUGUAAUUUUCAAAAACUUUGGACACAAGUGACCCAUUUCUAAUGUUCAAGGAGAGGCUUUGAUGGGAAGUGCUGACCCUCCUUUCUGAAGAGUGAUAUUAAUAAAAUUGUUUCAGUCAGCCAGUCUAGGAACAGGCAAUCUCCUGUCUGCCACAUGUGCCAAGUUAAUAAGCCUCCAAGAAGGUUACAUUGCAGGUCUUGCUUUGUGCCUGGAACAUCUUGGUAAUUAUCAAACAGCUUCAUUAAACACACUGGUUCCCUAUACUGUACUUCAGGCUUUGUUUUAGUUAUAUUUUUCCAUUCUCUAAAUAGAUCUGUGUAUUCAUUGCUUUGUCUUAUUAUGUUGAAUGUUACACUGAACUGUACCUAGACACUAACAGCUGAACAGCAGAAUGGGACAAGCAGAUUUAAAAAAUAUAUAUAUCCAACAAAUUUUUUUCUAAGGUACUGUGGAAUCUGCAUUCAACUCAUUGAUAUAUCCUGAAGUAGGCUUUCUAUUGGCUUAUUUCUAAGAAUGUGUUGUCUUUCCUGAUUUCAGCAUUCAAUUAUUUUCUCUUUUUUUUCUUUUGAACUUUUUGGUGAUUUUUUGGGUAAGUCCCUUUCUUGUUCUUUAUAAAAGAGAAAAAAUAGAACAUUGAAGAAAAAGAACAGAAUUUUAACUAACACUUCUUAUGCUUAAACUAAGUAAGGUGAAAGAAAGGAAGCUUGGAAUAAUCCAAUUUUCUCUUAUAACUGGUAUGGGCACUCACCCUUACAGUUAUUUAAGCUUAAAUGCAAGUGUUUAUAUUUUGCUUGUUUUAGUUUACAUCUUAUCAUUUAUAGGAGGCUGUGUAAUGCACCCUAAGUAAAGACAUCAUUUGCAUAGCUCACAGUCAAAUGGAGACUCAGUGAGUAUUAUGAAAUAUCAAAUUAGAGAAAUCAUGUAAAAAUAACUUCCCUCUGCCUCAAUCUCAGCUGCAUUUCAUCUUGCCCUACAUUUUUGUGGACCUGUAUAUGCAGAUAAAUGUAUGACUUCACAAGUUUGCUUGAAGUGUAUGAGAAAGACAAAGCUUUACACUUAUGGAGCUAACAAGAUCCUGAAACACUUUGACAUCAGUUGCUUUGGCAACUUUAGGCUGAAUCAAUUCAUUACACCCUGAUAUUAGUUGACAUCCUGUGUGGAUAUUUUAUGGGAGGGGGAUGGUCCACAAACUGACAUAGUCCUGACCCAGAAAAUUCUCUGGGAACAAGAAUUCCACUUGGAUCCAUCCAUUGCUAUUUUUCUCAGCCUCAGGAGUGAAUGUGUUGACAUGUACAUGCUUGUUCACCCUGCCAGCAUUUACUAAGCACCAGCUAUAAGUUAAGAUCACAGACAUAAAGAUGAAUUAAGACAUCUUUAAUUUUCCCAUGGUGUUUCAUGUCUAGUACAGAGAUGACUUAUAAGUCCUGCUACAAGGGGAUAUUACACAGGCUCUGAAAGAUCUGCAUACAAGUUUUGCCCACAUACAUAUGAAGAAAGAAAGACUUCUUAGAGAAGAGAAUACUCAUGCUUAGAACCUAGAGAUGUGUGGGAGUAACCAGGAGAACAAGGACAUAUCAUUCCAGAGAGAUGGGGAUGGAUGGUAGCUGGUCGCUGAAGAUCUUUCCCCUGCCUUCCCCACAUCCAUAGUCAUACCUCACAGUAUUCCUGUCCUUGUGUAAUCCCCAACCAUUGGGUCUGGACUUGCUCUUGGAUUUACUCUUGGUUAAUAGAAUGUGGCAGAAUUGUUGCUGUGUGACUUCUGAGGCUUGAUCCUAAGAAAUCUAUGGCUUUCUUCUGGGCCUCUUUGAACUCUUGGCUUUUAGAUGUUCCCUCUUGAAAGCCACCUCAGAAUUGCACCUACCUGAGCCCCUCAUGUUGUGAGAAUCCUGAGCCAUUGGGAAGACUCUGGAGAGUGAGACAUCACACUGAGUAGGAGAGGCCAAGAGCCUCAGUGUGAGGCCCCAGGUGUGCAUGAAGAAGCUGUCUUGAAAGUAUGUCUUCCAGCUCCUUCCACCUUAGCUGAAGCAUGGAAUUGGGCCCUUCCUAAAUUAAUAAUCCUCAAAAAUAUGAGCAAAAUAAAUGAUUAUUAAAAGCCCCAAUGUUUUGAGGGUGGUUUCACAUAGCAAUGAACAACCAAAAUAGAGGGUAUAUGUGCAAAAGUGUUGAGUAUGCAGGGUGUAUGUUUCAAAAAAAUUAUGACCUGGAAGUAGCAGGUAGUUCAAUAGAUUUUCAUGGUCGGAGAAAGAAUGCUAGCCGGAAUAUACUGGUAUUGGAACAUUUACAGCUACAAGUGUGGAAACACUAGCUCGAUCUGAGUUCAGAGGUAAAGCUGACUCCAAUCAUGAAUGAGACAAAUUAUUCAAAUGAGGUCAUGAAGUCUUUUUCUGAUUCCUUUUCUACCUCCUCCUCCUCCUGCUGCUGUUGUUGUUGUUCUUCUUCUUCUUCUUCUUUUUCUUCUUCUUCUUCCUCUUCUUCUUCUUCUUCUUCUUCUUCUUCUUCUUCUUCUUCUUCUUCUUCUUCUUCUUCUUCCUCUUCCUCUUCCUCUUCUUCUUCUUCUUCUUCUUCUUCUUCUUCUUCUUUUCUCUCUCUGUCUCUCUCUCUCUCUGUCUCUCUCUCUUUCUCUCUCUUUCUCUCUCUUUCUCCUGAUCAUUCUUUUCUACAUACUGGAGAAGAUGACAAUAAGUAGCUUCAAAAUUACACUUUUUUAGCUUUAUAAUCUUUUUAAUUCUAGUUCCAAACUGAGUAACCCAACAGUAGGUCUCGCUGACUGGAUAUGGUUCAUGUGCCCAGCCCUGGAUCAAACACUCUGGUUAGUAAAACGAGCUGUUGCAAUUCACUAGGUUAAAGUCAACUUUUCUCCCCAGAAGUGGUGGAUGCUGUGGGUAGCAUUUCCACACAAAUCAAAUUAAUAAAGCAAGGAAGAAGCCAUUUCCCCAGGGAACAGAGGAUGUUAGACAAUAGCUGUUCACUGCAGGGAAAAUAGCAGGAAGUAAAUAUAUUUUAGUAGAUGUUUUUUGUGGACAGUGUUAUAUUUGAGGUGCGGGUAAAGCCAGAAUUUUUCCAAAGACUGAUGUAUAUUGUUGUAUAGCCACUUUAGUAUGUCAUUGAUUAGAUGUUCUUUCUUGGUUAUAUAGCCUGCCAAAGCCAUGUGCAUUGUUUUAUUUAAUUAUUUGGCCUUACUUUGUUAUACUAAAAAAAAGUUACAAUGUUUUUCUCUUAGGAGGAAAAUAUUGAUACAUUAUAAACAUUGCAUUUGCUUCCAAUUGUACAGAUGAUUUUGCAUCAAUAAAACCAUAUUCUCUCAUAUGGCCUAUUUGCUACUCAGUGACACAUUGUUUCAAGAUGCUGAGUAAAGGAGGUUCAUCUAUAGCUAUAGUAUCUUCCUGCCUUCAUUCACUCAUUCACUAAAUAUUUAAUAAAAUCUUUUUUUCCUGGACUACAUAGAUGAAAUAAAGAAAGAAAGUAAAGAAGGAAAGAGGUAAUUGGCUUUGAGUUUUCCAGUAGCCAUAAAAAAUGAAGAUGAAUGCAGAAAGAUGAUCAGUUCUAUCUGCUUUGAUUUUCCAUGAAAGAAAACAUAAAAUUGAAGCUUCUUUAGCAAUUAACUAAAAAAAAGACUUUUCUCAUACAAAGGUUCAUAUAGAAGACACACUUAAAAGAGAGGUAAAUAAUUAUGUUUUUAAUUACAUCUUUCCUAUAGAAAAAAAUCUAGAAGUUUUCUGAAACAAAUAAGAAACAACUGCUACACUCAAUCACUUACCCAAUAGUAUAUGAAAGAAGUAUAAUCAUGAAUAAUGGUGAUGUUUCGGAUGUGGUUGUUCUGUAGUGGAUAUACCCAGGGUGUUAUCAAAACAAAGUGGGUGUUUUGCUAACAAAUCUGGGUCUCAAUGGCUUUAUUCUCCUCAGGGGCCUAUACAUAUUAUGGAAGUUUGGCCACUCUGUUGUCAGAUACACUGGAAGCAACUCAAGAGCAGAUAUGGACUGGGAAGUCCAUCAAGGCUGUUAGACAUCCAUUCAUUGACUGUAGAUAGAGCAGCAGGGGCAGCAGAAAGUCUUGUGGGAACAGAAGAUGUGGGUGCCUAAGUUAGGAUGCCUUCUUAAAAGCUGAUUUCUUCCCAGCUGCCUUGGCCUGGCUUUUAAAACACAAAUUAAGGGAAGUGAGAUAAAAUGUUAUUUCAAGGAUUUCCUCCAGUCAAGAGGAAAUUGACAUUUUUUUCCAUGUUAAUUUGUUAGUCUCAUUGACAGCUAUCAGAAAUAUUAUUCAGUGUCACUACACUGUAUCUAGUAGGGUUAGGAAAAAAAAAACAAAAGGAAUAUGAAUCAUUCUUGACAGUAAUAAAGAGCUAAUUAAGAUGUGAGGCCAGGUGCGGUGGCUUAGGCCUGUAAUCCCAGCACUUUCGGAGGCCGAGCCGGGCAGAUCACCUGAGGUCAGGAGUUCGAGACCAGCGUGGCCAACAUGGUGAAACCCCAUCUCUACUAAAAAUACGAAAAUUAGCCGGGCGUGGUGGCAGGCACCUGUAAUCCCAGCUACUCGGGAGGCUGAGGCAGGAGAAUCGCUGGAACCGGGGAGGCAGAGGAUGCAGGGAGCGGAGAUCGUGCCAUUGCCCUCCAGCCUGGGUGACAGAGUGAGACUCUGUCUCAAAAAAAAAGAAAAAAGAAAGAAAAUGUGCACAUGCACAAGGAGAAGUAUCAAGUAUCAGGUAGUAGUUAGGAGAACAGAACCUGAGGGCAGACAAACUGGAUGGGUGUGAAUCCUGACACCACUAUUUACUAAUUCUUUCAUCUUGAAAAAGUUACUGAAUUUCUCUGUGCCUCUGUGUCCUCAUUUGUAAAAUACAGAUAAUUUUACGUACUUCAUGAAAAUGUUGAAAAGAUUUAAAGAAUUCACAUAAAGUACGCGGAACAGCAACCGGCACGCAGGUCAAAAAAUACAUAUGUUAAUUUCCAUUUUUUUUUUUGUUUAUGUAGCUUAUUAACAACAGCAGUAUUUUAGGUAACUUCUCUUCUGAUACCGAUUAUCUCUAUUUUCUGACUAUCACUAUUCUCCCUCUUUCUUCCUCUAUCUAAACUACCAAUCUGCUUAUCUUUACACAUCAAUAUAUAAGCUCCCAAAUCUCAUAGGUUUGAAAACUUAGGCACAAAGAACUUUCAGCAUCUCUGCCAGCAAUUAUUUCAAAUUGUUCAGAAUAAUAUCAAUUAAACUUAUGAUGUGGUUAAUUUCACUAACUGAGACUAAAGACACAGGCUAAAUGUGUCAUGAGAUAUAUUUUUCUUUAAAAUCAGUGUUUC